Molecule: ribosomal RNA, 406 nt
Filed under: uncultured bacterium
Lineage: Bacteria
Description: partial 16S ribosomal RNA
Rfam family: Bacterial small subunit ribosomal RNA
Source: RNAcentral
AUUGAACGCUGGCGGCAGGCCUAACACAUGCAAGUCGAACGAGUGGCAGACGGGUGAGUAAUGUCUGGGAAACUGCCUGAUGGAGGGGGAAAACUACUGGACACGGUAGCUAAUACCGCAUACCAUCAGGUAUGCCCAGAUGGGUUGAGCUUGUGUGUGGGGAAAGGGCUCACAAGGGAGACGAUCCCUAGCUGGUCUGAGAGGAUGACCAGCCACACUGGAACUGAGACACGGGCCAGACUCCUACGGGAGGCAGCAGUGGGGAAUAUUGCACAAUGGGCGCAAGCCUGAUGCAGCCAUGCCGCGUGUAUGAAGAAGGCCUUAGGGUUGUAAAGUACUUUCAGCGGGGAGGCGUUACCCGCAGAAGAAGCACCGGCUAACUCCGUGCCAGCAGCCGCGGUAAUAC